Ixodes scapularis (black-legged tick) is the source of this 406-nucleotide long non-coding RNA. RefSeq lists it as uncharacterized. The transcript is spliced from 3 exons. Lineage: Eukaryota; Metazoa; Arthropoda; Arachnida; Ixodida; Ixodidae. The record is from RefSeq and is a predicted model, not a curated record.
UCGCAGUUGUUCCAAGGUCCUGGUAUAAGGAUGGCUAUGUCGCUUGGCCACCAGAGAAGAACCCGAGAAAGUUGCAACAAAUGGUGCAAAACGUGCACCAACCACCAGACUCCUGGGAGCGGCUAAAGUGCACUGCCAUGGAUUGGUUUGAGUCUUACGAGAAGGCUAGACGAAAACUUCCGCGAGCCGAAGAUACCUCUGAUUUGCAAAGUGACGUAGAAAGACGCCGAAAAAAGCCGAUGCGAUGGGAGACAGAUGAAACUGAUGAGGAUGAUGUACUAGUUGGCUUCUGUGCCUCAACUUCCAAGGCACACGGAUACUUGCAACCACGAAAGGAACCACUACCACCUGCGGUAGAGUCUGAUGAUGAGUGGGACGAAGUGGGAGCAAGCUCUUUUGAACCAGC